AUGUGCAGGUUUUGAAAAUGUACAAUAUGUAUAAUUUUUAAAAUGUUUUAUUAUUUUGAAAAUAAUGUUGUAAUUCAUGCCAGGGACUGACAAAAGACUUGAGACAGGAUGGUUACUCUUGUCAGCUAAGGUCACAUUG
This is a small nucleolar RNA of Homo sapiens (human), 139 nucleotides long. The record is from RefSeq and is marked validated. Lineage: Eukaryota; Metazoa; Chordata; Mammalia; Primates; Hominidae.